AUGUGUCCAGGUUUCCACUUCCAGAUUCAGUCACUCACUUCAAUCUUCAUCUUCUUCUCGAACUCCAUCUCUCUCCUCUCUUACCUAAAGACCAACGCAUGCUUGUGAACCUGCCAGGUAAUCGAUCUGGGUCACCAGAGCUUUGGUGAGGUCGAAGAUGUUCUACUGGACGGCUUCCACGCAGGCCAUGAGGCCAUGGACAAGCCAGACUCUAUUUUCCUGCGAGUCGACAAUGAGGCCUGGGCGGGUUGAUGAUGACUUGGCGGUGGCGGGGAGGGAGAUUGGUUGUUGUGGUUGUGGAAUGGAGAAGGUGGCGGGGUGGUUGAAGAUGAGUUCGGAGGGAGAAGACCCGGAUGAGGAUUUGAGACGCUUUGGCUCCCGCGACGGAGAAUCGAGGUGGGUUUGGGUGAACACGGCAUUUCCGAGGAUAGAUUUGAAGUCAUAGUAGCUGGAAGAAUAGUGUAGAGGGCGAAAAGGUUGGUAGUGAUGACAGAGAAGACCCAGAAAGUAUGGUGUUUAAUCAGAGCUUCUACUUCUGCUUUUCCAUUGUUUUCUUCUUCCUUUUUCUGGGUCUUCCUGCUUCUUCUUCCUCUCCAACUUUCAUUUUAGGUAUUGCCAAAUUUAACAUCUAAAAUUUUAUAUAUGUAUUUAUAUGUUGUAUAUUGCUGGGUUUUGAUUAAAAUAAGCUUAGAUUCAACAAAGCUCUGAACUUUUUUAUUUAUGUAUGUGUGGCUGCAAAUGCUGUCUUUGAAUCUCAAGUUUCUAUCGGCCGGCACUUGCUACAGGCCAAGAAAAGUUAUUUCCUUCACACCCUUGUCUGGAGGGUUUUGAUUUAAUUUGGUGAAAGAAUAAAGCUGAUUCUAACCCUAGACAAUUUCUAGAUCUUCUCUGCAGAAUCCGGUAAGCUCUGGCGAUGUCAAAGAUCUAGAGCAUGAGUGACAGAGCAAGUCCGGGAGGCGAUCCAAACCGAAAAAAAAAAAAAAAGACUCGUGGACCUGUCCCGAACCGACCCGUUUCAAAUGGGCCGGGUUAGGUCUGGUUCCAGUGAUGAGAUUUGUAAUUUUCGGCCCGUGCCCACCCCUAGUUCAUACGCCCACUAGAACUCGAUUUUAAUUUCAUUUUAUUCUUUGUAACUCAAAAGUCGUCACUUUACUUUCUGAAACUCAUAGUGCGCUCCAUUUGCCCCAUAGAACUCGAUUUUGAUCCAAUUUUUCUCUGAAACUUGAAAGUCGUCUAUAUAAAACUCAAAAUUCGCUCCACAUUGCCUUAGAUCUAUUAAUUUCUUAUGUGGGUUUGAUUUGGGUGUGUCAAGGCAAUCAAUUUCUUUUUUAUUAUUUUUCAUCUCUUCAAUUGCUUUUAAACUUAAUAUUCUUUGAUUGUUGAAUGUUAACACAUAAUAGAGAUUUAUAAUAAAAUUUAUUGCCCGUGUGACAUAACCUUAUUGGGUAUUGGGUCUCACAUAUAUUUUAGGAGGCAACAUACAUGUUCAAGGAAAAGAGAGAGCCCACAAGUCAAAGUUGAACGAAUUUUGAGUUUUAGAGAGUAAAAUGUUGACUUUUGAGUUAUCAAAAUAGAGUUUUAGAGGAUGAAGCUAAAAAUAAGCCAUGAACUUAACCUUUGCAUAUACAAAUAACACAUGUCAUUUUCUACACAAAAAAGCAAGACUUUUAAUGCUUCGGGCUAGAAAUUAAAGGAGGAAAAUAAAAAAUAAUAUAAUUUCAAUGCAUUGAAUGUCUUUUUAUUUUUUUAUAAAAAAUGACACGACACUUGUUAAAUUGAGAAAUUUCAUUUGCAAAGGUUAAUGU
Molecule: long non-coding RNA, 1805 nt
Filed under: Malus domestica (apple)
Lineage: Eukaryota; Viridiplantae; Streptophyta; Magnoliopsida; Rosales; Rosaceae
Description: long non-coding RNA (MDOM_LNC013797)
Source: RNAcentral